AACGAACGCUGGCGGCAGGCCUAACACAUGCAAGUCGAGCGGACCCUUCGGGGUUAGCGGCGGACGGGUGAGUAACGCGUGGGAACGUGCCCUUUGCUUCGGAAUAGCCCUGGGAAACUGGGAGUAAUACCGGAUACGCCCUUUUGGGGAAAGAUUUAUCGGCGAAGGAUCGGCCCGCGUUGGAUUAGGUAGUUGGUGGGGUAAUGGCCUACCAAGCCGACGAUCCAUAGCUGGUUUGAGAGGAUGAUCAGCCACACUGGGACUGAGACACGGCCCAGACUCCUACGGGAGGCAGCAGUGGGGAAUCUUAGACAAUGGGGGAAACCCUGAUCGAGCCAUGCCGCGUGAGCGAUGAAGGCCGUAGGGUUGUAAAGCUCUUUCACCGGGGAAGAUAAUGACGGUACCCGGAGAAGAAGCCCCGGCUAACUCCGUG
This 433-nucleotide ribosomal RNA is filed under the name uncultured bacterium. Its description in RNAcentral is "partial 16S ribosomal RNA". It matches the Rfam family "Bacterial small subunit ribosomal RNA", at positions 29 to 507 of the family's 1533-position model. The record is from RNAcentral.